AUUGAACGCUGGCGGCAGGCCUAACACAUGCAAGUCGAACGGUAACAGGAAACAGCUUGCUGUUUCUCUGACGAGUGGCGGACGGGUGAGUAAUGUCUGGGAAACUGCCUGAUGGAGGGGGAUAACUACUGGAAACGGUAGCUAAUACCGCAUAACUUCGCAAGACCAAAGAGGGGGACCUUCGGGCCUCUUGCCAUCUGCUGUGCCCAGAUGGGAUUAGCUAGUAGGUGGGGUAACGGCUCACCUAGGCGACGAUCCCUAGCUGGUCUGAGAGGAUGACCAGCCACACUGGAACUGAGACACGGUCCAGACUCCUACGGGAGGCAGCAGUGGGGAAUAUUGCACAAUGGGCGCAAGCCUGAUGCAGCCAUGCCGCGUGUAUGAAGAAGGCCUUCGGGUUGUAAAGUACUUUCAGCGGGGAGGAAGGGAGUAAAGUUAAUACCUUUACUCAUUGACGUUACCCGCAGAAGAAGCACCGGCUAACUCCGUG
RNAcentral lists this ribosomal RNA (490 nucleotides) under uncultured bacterium. RNAcentral describes it as "partial 16S ribosomal RNA". It matches the Rfam family "Bacterial small subunit ribosomal RNA", at positions 30 to 507 of the family's 1533-position model. The record is from RNAcentral.